AGUGAACGCUGGCGGUAGGCCUAACACAUGCAAGUCGAACGGCAGCACAGUAAGAGCUUGCUCUUACGGGUGGCGAGUGGCGGACGGGUGAGGAAUACAUCGGAAUCUACUUUUUCGUGGGGGAUAACGUAGGGAAACUUACGCUAAUACCGCAUACGGCCUACGGGUGAAAGCAGGGGAUCUUCGCACCUUGCGCGAUUGAAUGAGCCGAUGUCGGAUUAGCUAGUUGGCGGGGUAAAGGCCCACCAAGGCGACGAUCCGUAGCUGGUCUGAGAGGAUGAUCAGCCACACUGGAACUGAGACACGGUCCAGACUCCUACGGGAGGCAGCAGUGGGGAAUAUUGGACAAUGGGCGCAAGCCUGACCGAGCAAUGCCGCGUGGGUGAAGAAGGCCUUCGGGUUGUAAAGCCCUGUUGUUGGGAAAGAAAAGCAGAAGGAGAAAACCGCGCUGUUGUGACGGUACCCAAAGAAAAAGCAACGGCUAACUUCGUG
RNAcentral lists this ribosomal RNA (492 nucleotides) under uncultured bacterium. RNAcentral describes it as "partial 16S ribosomal RNA". It matches the Rfam family "Bacterial small subunit ribosomal RNA", at positions 29 to 507 of the family's 1533-position model. The record is from RNAcentral.